Molecule: long non-coding RNA, 664 nt
Organism: Hirundo rustica (Barn swallow)
Lineage: Eukaryota; Metazoa; Chordata; Aves; Passeriformes; Hirundinidae
Exons: 3
Source: RefSeq, a predicted model, not a curated record
GAGAAGAGUCCCUUGCAAAGGAAAGGAGUACUUUAGAAACCAGAUAAAAUGACCAGAUAGAGGAAGCCUAAUGGGGGGGGUUCUGUGUUGUCCCUGUCUGCUGUACACAGGCACAUCCAGGCAGCACCUGCUGAAUGAAGACACCACUGAGAUCUCAGAAGUGUCACAUGGACAAAGGCAGCAAGAAUUUUUUCCUUUUUCAGCCUCUGCAACAAAUUGAGAGUCUCAGGUGGUACUGAGCAGAUAAAUAAGGAUAAAUGAAGCUGUUAAAUGCCCACUUUGCUGGAGAAGUUAGUGGACAAGAAUGUCUGAACAUAUCCUGGCUUGCAGCCUGGGAAGUGCCGUGAGCUAAAUUAUUGUGUCACAGCCCAGACAGAAAACAACAACAAAUCAAGGCUUACUCUGGCAAAUCUCAACAUGGAAAUAGGAAGUUGGGAAAAUUUCAUCUACAUUUCUGGGCAGCACUUGGCAAGAAGACAGAGUGAGGCAGCAGACAGAGGAAAGAGUAACUCAGGAAGAGCUCCAGGUCCUUGUGCACCCAUGGCUGCACCCAGGUCCACUGAAGGGUGUCCUUUAUGGAGAAACACUCUGUAAAAGGCUGUGCUUGAUGUAAAUCACUGUGACACAGAUUGGCAGCAAGCUUGUGUCUGGAGAAAGGACUGAA